CACACACACACACAAUAAAACCGUCCCCAUCCAAACAAAAUUCAACCAAAAAAAAGAAAGAAAAAACAAGAGGAUUUUCCUUCAGACGUAUUUUUGUUUCUUGCCGCGUUCGUUUCUUUUUCUUCUUACUGUUAUUAUAUCAUUAUUCUUUUCUUU
Molecule: non-coding RNA, 156 nt
Filed under: Licmophora paradoxa
Lineage: Eukaryota; Bacillariophyta; Fragilariophyceae; Licmophorales; Licmophoraceae
Source: RNAcentral